GAUUUUAUAUUCAAGAAUGAUUUUAGACUGCAAUUCUAAAGGUGUAUUUAUAUAUAAUACUAAGAUCU
Molecule: transfer RNA, 68 nt
Filed under: Sclerogryllus punctatus
Lineage: Eukaryota; Metazoa; Arthropoda; Insecta; Orthoptera; Gryllidae
Description: tRNA-Cys
Source: RNAcentral